AUAUAUGUGGACCAAACUGAGCUCAUUCCCAAGGGAGAUAAUUCAAUACUACAUCAUGAAGCGUUCUUCUUCUUCCUCCUCCUCCUCCUCUAUUGCACAAACUAUGGCAAUCCUGGCUAUUUUAUUACUCUGCUACUUCCUGCCAUGCUCGACGGCCACCCAAGGUAAGUAUUAAGUUUUUUAUUUGUUUGGCAUUAAUUUUAUGAGCGGUACAGCUCACUGGUAAGACACCCGGCCGACGUCCCUUUGCUCCACAGACAAUGCUAAUCACUUCAUGUUAGUUGAUGUAAUCUCAGUGGUGACUCUUGAGCAGNCGCAGUUUAUCCGGAUGCUAACCGCGACCCGGGAGAGGGUCCUCCACCGCCGCGGCCCGGGAGACCCGUUAACUGCCUCCAUGGGUGCCGGCACCUUGACACUACGCGACCAGCGACAGUAGCGCCAAACUGCAAGAUCCUGCAGCGGGCAGGUGCCAGUGCGCCCCUAAUGUACGAAGGACCACCGAUGCCAUGACCACCGGAACUCAAACUCUUCUUUUUCUUGCCGCGCCGUGUCGAGUUCUCUGUUAUUUCAUGAUAUUGCCCGUCAUCUUCGAUCCACACUGUGUUAAGGGUGUUUGUGCCACACUGCCACUGGUAUAUGAGCGAGAACCUGGAAAACAACUCCGUAUGUGGUUGAGUCGUUCAUAGAAUUAUAUAAAAGUGAGUCGUGCCUGUUGGCGCCGCCUCUCGCAGCGCCUCUUCUUCCUCUCCCUCGCUACUCUCUCAGCUCAAGGAUUCUCUCAACAAAUUUUAAUGAACAAAAGAACACACACACAGAUGUGCCAAGGAAGAAAACCAACCAGCUUUGCCGAGGUACUCUUCCUUGGAAACCACAAGUGCUACAUCUUUUCACUCAGCCCUCACGAUCACACUUCUCCAUUACUCAAUGUAACACACACAUAUAUAUACAUAGUUUCAGGGUUAAGCAGAAAACAUGUAGCCACCCUUAUAAUUUUGGACAAACUUAUUAUGGACAAACUUAUAAUUUUGAAUUCUUA
RNAcentral lists this long non-coding RNA (1036 nucleotides) under Hordeum vulgare. RNAcentral's name for it is "long non-coding RNA (HVUL_LNC006158)". The record is from RNAcentral. Lineage: Eukaryota; Viridiplantae; Streptophyta; Magnoliopsida; Poales; Poaceae.